AUACAGCGUCCUCAUUAGCGAUGUCGUGUACAGUGUCCUCAUAGGGAGCUAGAAGAACACAGAGUUAAGGUCAGUGCCCUGGUGCUGGAGACUGUGAAUCACCCAGGGGCUUGCUUGGUGUGAUGCAUGGAGGUGGCUGAUUACAGCAUGGGUCAAGCUGAUGGUGGGACAUACUCCCAGGUGGACCUGCACUAGUGAAGCUAAGGGAUGUGGCUCAGAACACUUUCUGCUGUGGGAAUCAUUUUCCAGGUUCAGAAAACACGCACAGCCAAGCCCAGAUGCCAGUCUUGUUAGCUGCCUUCCUUUACCUUCAAGAGUGGGCUGAAGCUUGUCCAAUCUUUCAAGAUUGCUGAAGACUGUAUGAUGGAAGUCAUCUGUAUUGGGAAAGAAAUUAAUGGAGAGAGGAGAAAAUUUGAGAAUCCACAGUACUCACCCUGCAGGGCCAAGAACUCUGUCUCCCAUGCAUUGCUGUCCUGUCUCAGUAUUUCCUGUGACCACCUCCUUUUUCAACUGAAGACUUUGUACCUGAAGGGGUUCCCAGGUUUUUCACCUCAGCCCUUGUCAGGACUGAUCCUCUCAACUAUUGACCAUUUCACCUCCAUUCAUGUCCAUGCCACAUCAGGCUGUGUUGUCUAGAUGGAAUGAAUCCACCCAAAAUGUCCCUUUCUGGAGGAAGCCACCAUUAUGCUGUACCUCCAAGCAUAAUGGUACAUCCACACACACCAAGGCACCUCGCUCAUGCAAGGUGUGUGUCCUCUAACAAAGUUUCACACUCUAAACCCAGAUAACUUUUCAAACCCAAGUUCUGUUGAUUCCCCUACUUUGAGUGCUCCAUAGAUGCUCAUUUGUCUACUAAACACUGCCCCAGGCAAUUAAAUAUUCCAAAGUGACCAGCAGAAUUUUUAUGUUAAUUCUGACAUUGCGUUGUUAGUACAAGUGUUUUUCCCCCUUCAAAUUUAUGUCUUUGUUACUGAUAAAUGUAACUGAUAAUGCGUUUUUCAGCUGUGUUGCCAAGCAUAUUUAUAUAAAAAUAUACUCAGAUUGUUUUCAGAAUUUGACAAAGAUGAUAGCAAUAAUGAUAAUCUUAUUUGUUUUAUACCAA
Homo sapiens (human) is the source of this 1102-nucleotide long non-coding RNA. The record is from Ensembl. NCBI's taxonomy places the organism in Eukaryota, Metazoa, Chordata, Mammalia, Primates, Hominidae.